RNAcentral lists this unclassified non-coding RNA (665 nucleotides) under Hevea brasiliensis (rubber tree). Lineage: Eukaryota; Viridiplantae; Streptophyta; Magnoliopsida; Malpighiales; Euphorbiaceae. The record is from RNAcentral.
GAAUGCACCUGCCUCCCAUAAGACAACAUAGACAGCUUAGCAAACAGGUUAACCAUAGUUGUGAGAGUAAACUCAUAUAUUCCAAUCUUGUAAAGGUCCCUUAGCAUUUCAAUAAACAAUUCAAGCGCAUAGGAUUCAUACCCAUCAGGACUUACAUAACCCGAUAACAUUGAAUUAUGAGUGACCAAAUCUCUAACAGAAGCAGAGUCAAAUAUAACCAAAUCUCUAACAGAAGCAGAGUCAAAUAUAACUUUUGCUUGUGACAAGGUGCGGGCUUUUAUAUGCCCAGAGAUUAUUACAUUCCAAGAGAAGACGUUUCUCUCAGGCAUUUCGUCGAACAGACUUUGAGCUUCUCGUGCAAGGCCAUGGUUAGAGUAGAGAUUAAUGAGUUGAUUGGAGGUGAAGAUACGUAGUGUCAACCCCGUCUUUAUGGACUGGACUUGACAUCUGUGACCAUCUUUCAGGGACCUCAUUUACAUCCACAUAUUAGAGAGAAUUUUCCACUAUGAGAUUCUUUCUUAAUUCAAAGAAAUGAAAACAACAGAGACAUUUUUGCCUUGCUAUGGCAUACUGGCAAUCAUUCUAAAGUUUCAAAAAGGGAGGGAAAAUUGUGAGGGAGGCUUUUAAUGAUAGGGAAAACGAUGCGUUUUGCAUCUCUUGCCGUU